RNAcentral lists this long non-coding RNA (821 nucleotides) under Homo sapiens (human). RNAcentral's name for it is "novel transcript". Lineage: Eukaryota; Metazoa; Chordata; Mammalia; Primates; Hominidae. The record is from RNAcentral.
GACCUGGCCUUUCUCUGCAGCUCCUCUUGGGAAGGCAUUUUCUUCUUUCUGCAAACCGUGCUGCUGUUUGUUUGGAGAAGGAGAGCUGUGGCCAAAAACAAUCCAUUGAUACACUUGGUGACAUUAAUUGAGAAAAAAACAAUAUGGUCUGGCCAUGGAGGCAUGGUAUCCGUAACAUCCCCCAAAGGAGCUAAAGAAGAAAUCCACAAUUUACCAUGAGCAUUUCUCGUCUGAAGAUUGCCAAGCGAUUCCUCCAGGACAUUCCUCAAGGACUCAUGUUCUUAGGCAAAUGCUUUGGGGAAUGUGGCAGUGAUGUAUGUGCUGGGGAAACACAGAGGCAAGCAUGGAUGAAAAUCACUGUGGAAUAUUGAAGAAGGCUUCCAAGAGGAGGUGACAUUUGAGCUUGAUCGUGAACACGAAGUAAGGACAGAACUAGGAGCUCAACUAGAGGAAGAGGCAAAUGGUAUACUAGUGUAGACUGUGUUAAUGUGUAGACAACUGAAAGAAGUGGCAUAUUUGGGAAGCUUUAGGAUGUCCAUGGUGAAAAGUACCUACGAACAAGAGAUCAAUUUCUGUUCAUCCACCUUGUCCUGGGAGGGACAUCAAUGGGUUUCCAUGUCCUUUGGCUUCUGGUUGAGUUCACUCAGUGGAGAACCCUGGCAAGAGGCAGGAAAAGGGGAGGAAGGUAAAAAUGGUGCUACCCUUGGAAAUCCAAGAGCAGCUUCAAGAGUCAACUAUACCAGCAAUCCCUAAAGCUGGAGAAUUUAUGCCCAUGGAAAAGUCUGUAGCGUUUUGCAAACUGUGAGGCUGAGGAAUAGACC